This 1089-nucleotide long non-coding RNA is filed under the name Homo sapiens (human). RNAcentral's name for it is "small nucleolar RNA host gene 1". The record is from RNAcentral. Lineage: Eukaryota; Metazoa; Chordata; Mammalia; Primates; Hominidae.
CUCAUUUUUCUACUGCUCGUGAGAGCUCUGUUGUUGCAAUGUUCAGCCCACAAGAGCUUACUGGUGAAGGAAUGGGACAAGACCCAUCUUUAUGCAAAGCCAGCGUUACAGUAAUGUUCCAGCAUCUCAUAAUCUAUCCUGGGGAAUUCAGCUGCCUCCCAGGGUGAAUACAGGUAUUCCUGAUGACAGUCUGCCUCUAUCUUACAGAGCAGCUUGUUGCUAUAUACCAUUGAAAAGCCUUCAGAGCUGAGAGGUACUACUAACCAAUAACCUGCUUGGCUCAAAGGGCCAGCACCUUCUCUCUAAAGCCCAAGAGGAGUUUGAGGAAAACUAGGUGUCUGUGUUCACUCCAGGCUGAAGUUACAGGUCUGAGCAAAUAAGGUGUAUAAAAAAUGGAAUCUGUCUUGGAGGACAUCAGAAGGUGAAUUUUCCAAGUUCUUGGACAACCUAGCUGUUGAAAAGCUUUCUGGGUUUGGGGGGUAUUUCAGAUGUACCUUAAAGUGUUAGCAGACACAGAUUAAGACACUGGGAGCCAAUGAAACAGCAGUUGAGGGUUUGCUGUGUAUCACAUUUCUGUAUUUUAUCACCCCCUUCCUGCAACAUUAUUUAUCUGGAAUCUACCUGCCCUUUUGUUUUUUAGAUACAAGGGCUUGGUUUUGUUACCCAGGCUGGUUUCAAGGCCAUAGCUUUAAGAGAUCCUCUCACCACAGAUUUCCAAAGUGCUGGGAUUGCAGGUGUGAUUCAUGGCACCCAGACUUUGCUGCCUUUCUUACAUGAUCCAGGCCCAGAACCCAAACUCAGGCACUGUAUAGAUGACCACUUUCGUAAACUACUGACCUAGCUUGUUGCCAAUUGUUGAUUGAACUUCCCAUAACUCCACUUCGUGUCUGUUCCUCUGUAUACAGCCACCUUCUGUUCCCGUCAUGAGCCUUUAGGUCUCCAUUUGCAUAUUGCAAAUACUAUGUUCCAUGUAGGUAGCUCAUUCAGGGCCUUGCUCUUCACUUCAAAAAAGGUUCCCUUGAGGACUGGCUGUCAAUUUGUGUUGCUGUGUUGGUUGUUGAUGAAAAUAAUAAAAUGAUUGAUUACAUA